RNAcentral lists this ribosomal RNA (465 nucleotides) under uncultured Klebsiella sp. RNAcentral describes it as "bacterial SSU rRNA". It matches the Rfam family "Bacterial small subunit ribosomal RNA", at positions 338 to 795 of the family's 1533-position model. Lineage: Bacteria; Pseudomonadati; Pseudomonadota; Gammaproteobacteria; Enterobacterales; Enterobacteriaceae. The record is from RNAcentral.
CCUACGGGAGGCAGCAGUGGGGAAUAUUGCACAAUGGGCGCAAGCCUGAUGCAGCCAUGCCGCGUGUGUGAAGAAGGCCUUCGGGUUGUAAAGCACUUUCAGCGGGGAGGAAGGCGGUGAGGUUAAUAACCUCAUCGAUUGACGUUACCCGCAGAAGAAGCACCGGCUAACUCCGUGCCAGCAGCCGCGGUAAUACGGAGGGUGCAAGCGUUAAUCGGAAUUACUGGGCGUAAAGCGCACGCAGGCGGUCUGUCAAGUCGGAUGUGAAAUCCCCGGGCUCAACCUGGGAACUGCAUUCGAAACUGGCAGGCUAGAGUCUUGUAGAGGGGGGUAGAAUUCCAGGUGUAGCGGUGAAAUGCGUAGAGAUCUGGAGGAAUACCGGUGGCGAAGGCGGCCCCCUGGACAAAGACUGACGCUCAGGUGCGAAAGCGUGGGGAGCAAACAGGAUUAGAUACCCCUGGAGUC